Molecule: long non-coding RNA, 2835 nt
Organism: Drosophila montana
Lineage: Eukaryota; Metazoa; Arthropoda; Insecta; Diptera; Drosophilidae
Exons: 2
Source: RefSeq, a predicted model, not a curated record
AACACGCUGCAAAUGUAGUUUAAAAACAGCUUCAUUAAAAACUUUAGAGAGGCCAACUUAUGAUUUUUAAGCAAACAAAAACAAUAUCAAAAUCAAUUUCUAAGCUCGACUUCUCUGCUCAUUAGGCAAGUCCAGCAGCGCUUUUUAACAGAUUUCAUCAAAUUGUGUCAUUCGACAAAAAUGAGCAAAAAAAUAAAAUAAAUAAAGACUGAAAAUCGCGUCUCGUGCUCACGCCCACAAAAUCAAAGCUGAUUUCAUAUUUUGUGCACGGCAAAAUUUCACAAAAAAUAAAGAAAAACUGGUUACACCCAGCUCAAAUAAAAAUCUGUAUAUAUUUACAGACGUGAUCUUAUAACAAAUUCGUGUAAAUUAAAUGCUCAUAUGCAACAACAAAGACAACAAACUCGCAAGAAACUCAUAAAUUGGCGCUCAUUUGUUUGCUCAUUUGUCGCGUCAGCCCCCAAACGGCCAAUGUACAUAAGGCCCGGCCCAAAAUGGACAUGUAAGCAAGUCAAAAGCGAGUCUAUAAAAUCUAAUACGCACACAACAGCGGCCACAAGUCACGCCCACAGCUGUGGCUAUAUACUAUAUAAGCUAUAAGCGCUGAAGUGCCUAAUAACAACUCAGUUUAAGAGCGCAAGUAAAGAGCGCGGCUUGAAACUUGCUAGAGAGAGAGAGAGAGAGAGAGAGCGCUCGCGCGCACACCACAUGCGCCAUUGCACUCCCACACAGGCAGCCAAGUCGACGAUCGUGCUCUUAAAAAUUGUGCAGAACCCACUUGGAACGAGUUUUCUCAGAGAGAUCGAAACGCGGACGGACUCAAGAGUCGCAUCGGCUCGGAUUGCGUUUUCAGUCUGUGAGCAGCUGCGUGAGCCGCACGACGAUCAACGAAUCAGCGAACGAUCGUGCUGAUCGUGCCUGAAGUUAAGUGCACGCCAUGGAGAAAGACGUUAAAAGUGGCCGAUCAAAAUGUACGGCAAGUGUGUGACAGACCGAAUGAUAAAGUUGCAGUGUAAAAAUAAUAAAUCUCUAAGACUUAAGCCCAAUGAUGAUCAAAGAUCAGUGUUAACUAAAGAUUGCGAAGGCGGCAGGCGGCUGCCGGCUGGCGGCAAACGGCCACAAGAAGUUGCAAGCGAGUCGCAGUUCAGGUACCUUGCUGCCUUCCAGCGGUGGCAUCAACAGUUCAGCCUCAAGAUGUUGCCGACGCGCACAAUGUGCGGCUUUAAGAAAUGCCGAAUUCCAGAAGCUGCAGUACAAUCAGUUGAAUUAAAAAACAGCCCACAGACAGAGACAGACAGAGAGAGAGAGAGAGCCAGAGCGAGAACCAGAGCGAGAGGGUGGCAGGGUGGUAGCAAGAGGGAGAUAGCUGCGAGGACAACGCGACGAUAUCAUCGCACAGCUGCGGCCUAGGAAAUUAAGAGGACAUUGUGGCGGCAUGUGGUCAGAACUCAACGCGCGGCGGCUUAAACACAAAAUCCAGCUCCAGCUCCAGCUCCAGCUACAGCUACAGCUACAGCUACAGCCGCAGCAGCAACCGCAGCCGUCCAGCUCCAUGCAGCAGACGCAGUCGCUGGUUCGGGCCACGCAAGAUUCUUUGCGUUGUUGCGUUGUUGGUGGCGGCUCGCGAUGGCAACCGCCACUGGCCACUGACAGAGGUCGCCCUCGUACGUAAUCGGCGAGCAUUGCAAAUGCUUUUGUGCCGUCUGUUUCGCCUGUCGCGCUGCCUUGUGCUGCGCACGUGGCCAACUUGGUGACGCUUGGCCCCAAAAACAACAGCAGCAGCAACAGCAGCAGCCGCAACAGGGGCAGCAAAUCAUUGAAAUGUCGUUAGAGGCUCGAGCGGCACGCGGCUGCGAUAGUCAGCCGAACCGCAAAAUGCUUUUAAUUUCUCAAACUGAUAUGUACUUAGUGUGCCCAGGUUCGAUCCGCAGAGGGGGCCAAGAACAUGUGUGGCUGUCUGUGUGUGUGGACAAGAGCUAAGCAGUUGGAGGAGUUGCUGCGAGCAGCAGCGGAAACUUUACGCGAGGAGGUGGACUUUGGGUGUGCUACAACUUGAAAUAGUUCAAGGAGUUCGCAUUGUUCGAAUGGGUUCCAAUCUAAGCUAAUUUUAGCUCAAAGGGAGUUCACAUUUGAUCACAUGAGUUGCAGCAUUACUUGAAGUAUGUUCAAGUUAACAAUAAUUAAAUUCCAUUUGGAAAAUUUUAAAAUAUUACUACUUUCUUGAUUAGUAAAAUUAAGAAGAUUAUUUCUGAAUAAUACUUUCCAUGUGCCACUGAAAAGCCCAAAGCUAUGAAUAUUUUUAGAAGAUCAACUAGAUUUAUUUAUUUAUAAAUAUUUAUAAAAAAUUAUAAGAGCAGAAUUAAAUUUAAAAAAAAAUAACCAAAAAAACAUCCAUCAAAAACAAAACGAUUCUAUCCAAAAUCAAAGUUUGAGUAUUUUUAAAAACUGAUUUUAAAUUUUCUAUAAUAUAAUGAACCAUGUUAAUUUCAAAGUAGAGGGUCACGAAAAAAUACAAAAAUCUAUCCCAAAUUAUUUUACAAAUUGUUGUGCUUGUACAAAAUAAUACAGAAAAUAUAAAAUGAAACGAACAAAUUCUUGAGCUUUGGCAAAGUAAAACAGAAACUUUAAGUGAUGGUUAAGAAAUUUUAAAAUUUUAAAUAAAGUGAAAAUCUAUCCAAAAGAAUAUGUUAAAAUUAAAGCCAUAAAAAAACAUUUAACCUAAAGCACAAACUGUACCUAAGAAAAACAAAAAUGAAAGUCCAAAGGGUCACUGCACACGAUCAGCAAACACUUUGAAAAGUAUACUAAUAAAAGCUAAAGCCAAUAAACUUACAA